RNAcentral lists this ribosomal RNA (819 nucleotides) under uncultured bacterium. RNAcentral's name for it is "bacterial SSU rRNA". It matches the Rfam family "Bacterial small subunit ribosomal RNA", at positions 8 to 808 of the family's 1533-position model. The record is from RNAcentral.
AGAGUUUGAUCCUGGCUCAGGAUGAACGCUAGCGGUAGGCAUAACACAUGCAAGUCGAGGGGCAGCUGGUUUGGUAGCAAUACUGAAUGUCAGGCGACCGGCGGAUGGGUGAGUAACGCGUACGCAACCUACCUUGUACAGUGGGAUAGACACUGGAAACGGUGCGUAAUACCACGUAAUAAUAUAGAUAGGCAUCUGUUUAUAUGGGAAGGGUACGUAAGUAUUGGUAUAAGAUGGGCGUGCGUAGGAUUAGAUAGAUGGUGGGGUAACGGCUUACCAUGUCGACGAUCUUUAGGGGUUCUGAGAGGAAGGUCCCCCACAUUGCAACUGAGAACGGUGCAAACUCCUACGGGAGGCAGCAGUGAGGAAUAUUGGUCAAUGGGCGGAAGCUUGAACCAGCCAUACCGCGUGCAGGAAGGCGGCCUUAUGGGUUGUAAACUGCUUUUAUAAUGGGAUAGUGAUUAUAUCGUGCAUAUGAUAGGGAAGGUACAUUAUGAAUAAGUAUCGGCUAACUCCGUGCCAGCAGCCGCGGUAAUACGGAGGAUACGAGCGUUGUCCGGAUUUAUUGGGUUUAAAGGGUGCGUAGGCGGUUGAUUAGGUCUAUGGUGAAAUGGUUGUGCUCAACACAAUUUAGCUGUAGAAACCGGUCGGCUAGAAUAUAAGUGGCGUAGGCGGAAUAAAGCGUGUAGAGGUGACAUUCAUAGAUAUGCUUUAGAACACCGUUCGCGAAGGCGGCUUACGAAGGUAAAAUUGACGCUAAUGCACGAGAGCGUGGGUAUCGAACAGAAUUAGAUACUCUGGUAGUCCACGCUGUAAACU